GCCGAUGUGGCGGAACUGGCAGACGCGCACGACUCAAAAUCGUGUGGGCGCAAGCCCAUGUGGGUUCGAUUCCCACCAUCGGCA
RNAcentral lists this transfer RNA (84 nucleotides) under Patescibacteria group bacterium. Its description in RNAcentral is "tRNA-Leu". It matches the Rfam family "tRNA". Rfam says of the family: Transfer RNA (tRNA) molecules are approximately 80 nucleotides in length. The record is from RNAcentral.